GAUGAACGCUGACAGAAUGCUUAACACAUGCAAGUCAACUUGAAUUUGGGUUUUUAACUUCGGUUUGGGUGGCGGACGGGUGAGUAACGCGUAAAGAACUUGCCUCACAGCUAGGGACAACAUUUGGAAACGAAUGCUAAUACCUAAUAUUAUGAUAAUAGGGCAUCCUAUAAUUAUGAAAGCUAUAAGCGCUGUGAGAGAGCUUUGCGUCCCAUUAGCUAGUUGGAGAGGUAACGGCUCGCCAAGGCGAUGAUGGGUAGCCGGCCUGAGAGGGUGAUCGGCCACAAGGGGACUGAGACACGGCCCUUACUCCUACGGGAGGCAGCAGUGGGGAAUAUUGGACAAUGGACCAAGAGUCUGAUCCAGCAAUUCUGUGUGCACGAUGAAGUUUUUCGGAAUGUAAAGUGCUUUCAGUUGGGAAGAAAGAAAUGACGGUACCAACAGAAGAAGUGACGGCUAAAUACGUG
Molecule: ribosomal RNA, 467 nt
Filed under: uncultured bacterium
Lineage: Bacteria
Description: partial 16S ribosomal RNA
Rfam family: Bacterial small subunit ribosomal RNA
Source: RNAcentral